This 270-nucleotide ribosomal RNA is filed under the name Alexandrium margalefii. RNAcentral describes it as "partial Bacterial large subunit ribosomal RNA". It matches the Rfam family "Bacterial large subunit ribosomal RNA", at positions 2184 to 2466 of the family's 2925-position model. The record is from RNAcentral. Lineage: Eukaryota; Dinophyceae; Gonyaulacales; Pyrocystaceae.
AGUCGUUCUUGAAAUACCACCCUUGAAUUAUCUGAUGCCUAACCCGAUGAGGGGACAUUGUGUGGUGGGUAGUUUGACUGGGGUGGUCGCCUCCAAAAGAGUAACGGAGGCUCCUAAAGGUACCCUCAACACGUUUGGUAAUCGUGUGUAGAGUGUAAUGGCAUAAGGGUGCUUGACUGAGAGACCGACAAGUCGACCAGGUAGGAAACUAGAGCAUAGUGAUCCGGUGGUUCCGCAUGGAAGGGCCAUCGCUCAAAGGAUAAAAGGUAC